RNAcentral lists this ribosomal RNA (233 nucleotides) under uncultured bacterium. RNAcentral describes it as "partial 16S ribosomal RNA". It matches the Rfam family "Bacterial small subunit ribosomal RNA", at positions 1259 to 1500 of the family's 1533-position model. The record is from RNAcentral.
GAUGUGAUGCCAAUCCCUAAAGCCCCUCUCAGUUCGGAUCGAAGUCUGCAACCCGACUUCGUGAAGCUGGAUUCGCUAGUAAUCGCGCAUCAGCCACGGCGCGGUGAAUACGUUCCCGGGCCUUGUACACACCGCCCGUCAAGCCAUGGGAGCCGGGGGUACCUGAAGUACGUAACCGCAAGGAGCGUCCUAGGGUAAAACUGGUGACUGGGGCUAAGUCGUAACAAGGUAGC